This 490-nucleotide ribosomal RNA is filed under the name uncultured bacterium. RNAcentral describes it as "bacterial SSU rRNA". It matches the Rfam family "Bacterial small subunit ribosomal RNA", at positions 28 to 507 of the family's 1533-position model. The record is from RNAcentral.
GAUGAACGCUUAGCGACAGGCUUUAACACAUGCAAGUCAGGGGCAGCGAGGUGGUAGCAAUACCGCUGUCGGCGAACCGGCGCACUGGUGAGUAACACGUAUGCGACCUGCCCCCCUACAGGGGUAUAACCCGUAGAAAUGCGGACUAAUCCCCCAUAGUCCCGCGGGCUGCAUGGCCUGCGGGGGAAAGGGUUUCCGGUAGGGGAUGGGCAUGCGGCGCAUUAGCUAGUUGGCGGGGCAACGGCCCACCAAGGCGACGAUGCGUAGGGGUUCUGAGAGGAAGGUCCCCCACACUGGUACUGAGACACGGACCAGACUCCUACGGGAGGCAGCAGUGAGGAAUAUUGGUCAAUGGGCGCAGGCCUGAACCAGCCAAGUCGCGUGAGGGAGGACGGUCCUACGGAUUGUAAACCUCUUUUGUCGGGGAGUAACGUGCGGGACGGGUCCCGUAUUGAGAGUACCCGAAGAAAAAGCAUCGGCUAACUCCGUG